GUGCUUGCUUCGGCAGCAUGUAUACUAAAAUUGGAACGAUACAGAGAAGAUCAGCAUGGCCUCUGCACAAGGAUGACAUGCAAAUGUGUGAAGCGGUCCAUAUUUUU
Small nuclear RNA from Camelus dromedarius (Arabian camel), 107 nucleotides. Lineage: Eukaryota; Metazoa; Chordata; Mammalia; Artiodactyla; Camelidae. The record is from Ensembl.